Molecule: ribosomal RNA, 468 nt
Filed under: uncultured bacterium
Lineage: Bacteria
Description: partial 16S ribosomal RNA
Rfam family: Bacterial small subunit ribosomal RNA
Source: RNAcentral
GACGAACGCUGGCGGCGUGCUUAACACAUGCAAGUCGAACGGAAAGGCCCUGCUUUUGUGGGGUGCUCGAGUGGCGAACGGGUGAGUAACACGUGAGUAACCUGCCCUUGACUUUGGGAUAACUUCAGGAAACUGGGGCUAAUACCGGAUAGGAGCUCCUGCUGCAUGGUGGGGGUUGGAAAGUUUCGGCGGUUGGGGAUGGACUCGCGGCUUAUCAGCUUGUUGGUGGGGUAGUGGCUUACCAAGGCUUUGACGGAUAGCCGGCCUGAGAGGGUGACCGGCCACAAUGGGACUGAGGUACGGCGCAGACUCCUACGGUAGGCAGCAGUGGGGAGUAUGACGCAAUGAGCGGGAGCCUGAUGCGGCGACGCCGCGUGCGGAAUGACGGCCUUCGGGUUGUAAACCGCUUUCGACUGAGACGAAGCGUGAGUGACGGUAAUGGGUAAAGAAGCACCGGCUAACUACGUG